UAGGGAAUCUUCCACAAUGGACGAAAGUCUGAUGGAGCAACGCCGCGUGAGUGAUGAAGGGUUUCGGCUCGUAAAACUCUGUUGUUGGAGAAGAACAGGUGUGAGAGUAACUGUUCACAUCUUGACGGUAUCCAACCAGAAAGCCACGGCUAACUACGUGCCAGCAGCCGCGGUAAUACGUAGGUGGCAAGCGUUGUCCGGAUUUAUUGGGCGUAAAGCGAGCGCAGGCGGUUUCUUAGGUCUGAUGUGAAAGCCUUCGGCUUAACCGGAGAAGUGCAUCGGAAACCAGGAGACUUGAGUGCAGAAGAGGACAGUGGAACUCCAUGUGUAGCGGUGAAAUGCGUAGAUAUAUGGAAGAACACCAGUGGCGAAGGCGGCUGUCUGGUCUGUAACUGACGCUGAGGCUCGAAAGCAUGGGUAGCGAACAGGAUUAGAUACCCUGGUAGUCCAUGCCGUAAACGAUGAGUGCUAAGUGUUG
Molecule: ribosomal RNA, 478 nt
Filed under: uncultured bacterium
Lineage: Bacteria
Description: partial 16S ribosomal RNA
Rfam family: Bacterial small subunit ribosomal RNA
Source: RNAcentral